AAUGGCCUGUGAUGAAUAAAACUUUUGCCUACAUUGUCUGAUUAUUCACCAUGAAGAAACAACUCCUAAGAUUUCUGAGGCCCUU
Small nucleolar RNA from Lactuca sativa (garden lettuce), 85 nucleotides. RefSeq annotates it as small nucleolar RNA SNORD34. Lineage: Eukaryota; Viridiplantae; Streptophyta; Magnoliopsida; Asterales; Asteraceae. The record is from RefSeq and is a predicted model, not a curated record.